This 496-nucleotide ribosomal RNA is filed under the name uncultured bacterium. RNAcentral's name for it is "partial 16S ribosomal RNA". It matches the Rfam family "Bacterial small subunit ribosomal RNA", at positions 29 to 507 of the family's 1533-position model. The record is from RNAcentral.
AUGAACGCUGGCGGCGUGCCUAAUACAUGCAAGUCGAGCGAACAGACGAGGAGCUUGCUCCUCUGACGUUAGCGGCGGACGGGUGAGUAACACGUGGAUAACCUACCUAUAAGACUGGGAUAACUUCGGGAAACCGGAGCUAAUACCGGAUAAUAUAUUGAACCGCAUGGUUCAAUAGUGAAAGACGGUUUUGCUGUCACUUAUAGAUGGAUCCGCGCCGCAUUAGCUAGUUGGUAAGGUAACGGCUUACCAAGGCAACGAUGCGUAGCCGACCUGAGAGGGUGAUCGGCCACACUGGAACUGAGACACGGUCCAGACUCCUACGGGAGGCAGCAGUAGGGAAUCUUCCGCAAUGGGAGAAAGCCUGACGGAGCAACGCCGCGUGAGUGAUGAAGGUCUUCGGAUCGUAAAACUCUGUUAUUAGGGAAGAACAAAUGUGUAAGUAACUAUGCACGUCUUGACGGUACCUAAUCAGAAAGCCACGGCUAACUACGUG